GUGGACAAGUGGCUCACCUGAAAACCCUCUCUGCAUCAUUACUGUUGCUUGUGCUGUCCAGACUGAAAUUCAUGCAGGUUGCUCAGUCAUAGGGAGUCUGGGGAGAAGCAGUCACAAUUCCACUGCUGAGGACCACCAAGGGAAGAUGACAACACAGAAUAUUCAACAGCUGUAUUAAACUUUGCAGAGCAGAGCCGGUGUGAACGCAACAGGAAAGACUUUUGCCAUCUGAACCUCACCAUUGCCUUGGCGCACGCUUGGCCACCAUCGGCGCUGGCCCAGCAGCAGCACAGCUUUCCCGGGCAGCACUCGGGCUGGCACAAAUGAGCUCGGAGGGAAAGGGUCCCCACCAGAUCCCUCCCACUGGCACGGCCGCAGCACCUGACAGAUCUCCCUGGGGCAACUGAAGCCUCUGGAGCACCACACGAACCCACAGCUGAACCUGAGCUAAAAUCCUGUCCAAGAAAGAGGAAGGCUGCUGUGAGGCAAACUGAAUGAACCUCUGAAGAAAUGCCAGUGUGACUGGGAUUGACAGCGUGCCUGGGUGAGACCCACACAGCCAGCCUGUUGGACCAUACAGCCCUGUCAUCUUACGUGGCCUCAGGCAAGGAAAACUGAAGUGGCAAUGAACUUGUCUGACUUCUGGUUAAAGGCUGAACUGCCUGGCUUCCUUUGGCUGGCUGGGAGGCUUCAUUUCAAGGAGUUCCUAUGAGGAUAAUCUCAUUCCAUCUGUUCCGAAGUAUCCUGGCAAUGAUGAAACACAAAAGAAUGAGGAAGUGGGUGUUAAGGCAGAAUAAAUGGGAGAGACUGUGGCCAGAAGAAAGCAUCGCAACCCAAUGGGGAGAUUGUGGAGCAUUAUGUAUCCUUGAAGAGCUCCUUUCACGUUGCUUUCUUCCACAUGCUGUUGCAUUGCCUAAUAUAAACUCAAAAGAGCUCCUCUUUGCAAGGUGCAAAUUGAACAGAAA
RNAcentral lists this long non-coding RNA (965 nucleotides) under Columba livia (rock pigeon). Its description in RNAcentral is "partial uncharacterized LOC102085649, transcript variant X2". Lineage: Eukaryota; Metazoa; Chordata; Aves; Columbiformes; Columbidae. The record is from RNAcentral.